AACUAACGCUGGCGGCAUGCCUAACACAUGCAAGUCGUGCGAGAAAGUUCCUUCGGGAGCGAGUAAAGCGGCGCACGGGUGAAUAACACGUAGGUAACCUGCCCCCCAGUCUGGAACAACUAGAGAAAACUACUAGCUAAUGCCGGAUGAGACCACGAUCCUUCGGGGUUGGCGGCCAAAGAAUGGCCUCUACUUGUAAGCUAUCGCUGAGGGAGUGGGCCUGCGGGCCGAUUAGCUUGUUGGUGAGGUAACGGCUCACCAAGGCUGUGAUGGCUAGCUGGUCUGAGAGGAUGACCAGCCACACUGGGACUGAGACACGGCCCAGACUCCUACGGGAGGCAGCAGUGGGGGAAUAUUGGACAAUGGGGGAAACCCGUACGAUCCAGCAACGCCG
This 394-nucleotide ribosomal RNA is filed under the name uncultured bacterium. RNAcentral's name for it is "bacterial SSU rRNA". It matches the Rfam family "Bacterial small subunit ribosomal RNA", at positions 29 to 399 of the family's 1533-position model. The record is from RNAcentral.